UAAGACAUCUUCUAAGCGUAUGACAGCAUUUAAAACACUAUGAAAUGCUCUGCUAACAGUUUCCCUGGACCUUUUAAAGUGAUGCUUGAUAACUCGAUUUUUCAGGUGAUGGGAGAUGAUAUGUAAAAACAUUGCUACUUGCUCAUCAACAAGCAUGUUUCUUGACGACUUCAAUCCCCCUAUCGAUUCUAACAUCUCACAUAGUUUAAAAAAGGCAG
This 218-nucleotide long non-coding RNA is filed under the name Gossypium barbadense (sea-island cotton). Its description in RNAcentral is "long non-coding RNA (GBAR_LNC023545)". The record is from RNAcentral. Lineage: Eukaryota; Viridiplantae; Streptophyta; Magnoliopsida; Malvales; Malvaceae.